Molecule: ribosomal RNA, 500 nt
Filed under: uncultured bacterium
Lineage: Bacteria
Description: bacterial SSU rRNA
Rfam family: Bacterial small subunit ribosomal RNA
Source: RNAcentral
GCCUUGGUGCCUUCGGGAACGCUGAGACAGGUGCUGCAUGGCUGUCGUCAGCUCGUGUUGUGAAAUGUUGGGUUAAGUCCCGNAACGAGCGCAACCCUUAUCCUUUGUUGCCAGCGAUUCGGUCGGGAACUCAAAGGAGACUGCCGGUGAUAAACCGGAGGAAGGUGGGGAUGACGUCAAGUCAUCAUGGCCCUACGAGUAGGGCUACACACGUGCUACAAUGGCGCAUACAAAGAGAAGCGACCUCGCGAGAGCAAGCGGACCUCAUAAAGUGCGUCGUAGUCCGGAUCGGAGUCUGCAACUCGACUCCGUGAAGUCGGAAUCGCUAGUAAUCGUGGAUCAGAAUGCCACGGUGAAUACGUUCCCGGGCCUUGUACACACCGCCCGUCACACCAUGGGAGUGGGUUGCAAAAGAAGUAGGUAGCUUAACCUUCGGGAGGGCGCUUACCACUUUGUGAUUCAUGACUGGGGUGAAGUCGUAACAAGGUAGGCGUAGCGAG